GUUUUUUGUUUCAACUUGUUUCAAUUCAACUGACUCAUGAAAUAGGUCAUUAAUAUCUACUUUUGUCUCUACGGGAACUGCUGAAAAAAAAACUCACUAAGGACGGAAAGGACAGAAAAUUGAGGAUAGUUGAAAAACUCUUUCAUGAAAGGUUGCUUGCAAAAUUGUUAAUGGGACUCGACUCAUCUGUUUUCCCCUUACUGAAGAGCUUUGUGAUACUUUUCGAGAUGAAGGAACCUCUAAUUCACUUGUUACAUGAAGAACAGGUUAGACUUUUCAAAGAAUUCCUAGUUUGUUUCAUCAAGCCUGAUGUUGUGAUCGGGGCCAAGUCAUCCUCAAGGUUGAAGAAACUGGAUAUUUCAAGCCAAAGCAAUCAGUUAAAUGCAGAAAGCAUGUUUCUUGGGGUGAAGGCACAUUAAGCGAUUAGAAAAUCAACCAAGAAGGACUUUGUGGUGAAAGGCUUUAUGAAACAAGUUGUUGAUGCCUUCACCCUCUGUGGUAAAGUGUUGCAGGAUAAGUUACCUUUAACUAAUCCACUCCUUCAAUCACUGGGGGCAAUCCAUCCAGAAAUUAGGGGCCAUUCUAAGACUUUGUCAUUUAUGCAGAAGCUUCCUACAUAUGCCACCACAGUACUUAAUGAAGCUGAAACUGAGGAACAUGACCAAGAAAUCAGGAAGUGUCACAUUGACAACUCACUUCCAGAGAUAGAAGAUACCAGGAUUGAUCAUUGGUGGUGAAAAGAGGAAGUUGUUCAGAAAUAUCCUAACCUCUCAAAAUUGGUACAAGCUUUACUUAGCUGCUUUAAUGGUCCUCAGGUGGAAUUAUCUUUCAAUGUCAUGAAUGAUGUCAUAGACAACAAGUCUGGAAGAUUGAAUCUGGAGACCUACAGUGCCAUACAGACUAUUAAAUAUAGACUUAGUGCUGAUGGAAAAAAUGCCAUUCACUUUUUUCAGAAGAAGGAUUAUAUGCAUGAAACUGUGGACAAAAUGCUUUGCAAAAAUAUGAGCAGUUCUAAUAAUGAAUAUAAAGCUGAUCUAGAUAAGAAAAAGGAUGAAAAGCUUUUGAAACAGAGACAGUUAGAUAUUCGUGUUAAAAAUUCUCAAUCUAAGACAAAGGCAAAAGAAUUGAUUGUACAUGCAGCUAAAAAAGCAAGACUGGGACAUUGUCAAAACAUGAAAAAAUUAAGAACUUAAGUGUUUUUUGUUGUAAUUUAUUUCUACAAAGAAGGACUAUAAGUAGAUAUUUUCAUGUUGAUUUUAUCAUUUAAAAUUCAAA
This is a long non-coding RNA of Magallana angulata, 1275 nucleotides long. RefSeq lists it as uncharacterized. The transcript has 4 exons. NCBI's taxonomy places the organism in Eukaryota, Metazoa, Mollusca, Bivalvia, Ostreida, Ostreidae. The record is from RefSeq and is a predicted model, not a curated record.